Molecule: ribosomal RNA, 404 nt
Filed under: uncultured bacterium
Lineage: Bacteria
Description: bacterial SSU rRNA
Rfam family: Bacterial small subunit ribosomal RNA
Source: RNAcentral
UGGGGAAUAUUGGACAAUGGGGGCAACCCUGAUCCAGCAAUGCCGCGUGAGUGAUGAAGGCCUUCGGGUUGUAAAGCUCUUUCGCACGCGACGAUGAUGACGGUAGCGUGAGAAGAAGCCCCGGCUAACUUCGUGCCAGCAGCCGCGGUAAUACGAAGGGGGCUAGCGUUGUUCGGAAUUACUGGGCGUAAAGGGCGCGUAGGCGGCUCUGAUCGUCGGAUGUGAAAGGCCUGGGCUCAACCUGGGAACGGCAUCCGAUACGGCGGGGCUUGAGUGUGGGAGAGGUUGGUGGAAUUCCCAGUGUAGAGGUGAAAUUCGUAGAUAUUGGGAAGAACACCGGUGGCGAAGGCGGCCAACUGGACCACAACUGACGCUGAGGCGCGAAAGCGUGGGGAGCAAACAGG